UGGGGAAUAUUGCACAAUGGGCGCAAGCCUGAUGCAGCCAUGCCGCGUGUGUGAAGAAGGCCUUCGGGUUGUAAAGCACUUUCAGCGGGGAGGAAGGCGAUAAGGUUAAUAACCUCAUCGAUUGACGUUACCCGCAGAAGAAGCACCGGCUAACUCCGUGCCAGCAGCCGCGGUAAUACGGAGGGUGCAAGCGUUAAUCGGAAUUACUGGGCGUAAAGCGCACGCAGGCGGUCUGUCAAGUCGGAUGUGAAAGCCCCGGGCUCAACCUGGGAACUGCAUUCGAAACUGGCAGGCUAGAGUCUUGUAGAGGGGGGUAGAAUUCCAUGUGUAGCGGUGAAAUGCGUAGAGAUGUGGGGGAAUACCGGUGGCGAAAGCGGCCCCCUGGACAAAGACUGACGCUCAGGUGCGAAAGCGUGGGGAGCAAACAGG
Molecule: ribosomal RNA, 429 nt
Filed under: Chloroflexota bacterium
Lineage: Bacteria; Bacillati; Chloroflexota
Description: Chloroflexi bacterium partial 16S ribosomal RNA
Rfam family: Bacterial small subunit ribosomal RNA
Source: RNAcentral